ACUACGUCUAAGGAUGGCAGCAGGCGCGCAAAUUACCCACUCUCAACGCGAGGAGGUAGUGACGAGAAAUAACGAGACCGAUCUCUUAUGAGGCCGGUCAUCGGAAUGGGUACAAUUUAAACCCUUUAACGAGUAUCUAUGAGAGGGCAAGUCUGGUGCCAGCAGCCGCGGUAAUUCCAGCUCUCAAAAUGCAUAGAAUUAUUGCUGCGGUUAAAAAGCUCGUAGUUGGAUCUGUGCUAGCCGUCCGGUGCACACUUUGUGUGUUACUGGUUUGGUUGGCUUUUCUGCCGGUCUUUCCCCGGCGUUGGCCUUUACCGGUCGGCGUCGGUGGGCUGGCGAGUUUACUUUGAACAAAUCAGAGUGCUUCAAACAGGCGUUUCGCUUGAAUGUUCGUGCAUGGAAUAAUAGAAGAGGAUUUCGGUCCGAUUUUAUUGGUUUUGCUGACCGAGAUAAUGGUUAACAGAGACAAACGGGGCCAUUCGUAUUGCUACGUGAGAGGUGAAAUUCUUGGACCGUAGCAAGACGGACUACAGCGAAAGCAUUUGGCAAGAAUGUCUUCAUUAAUCAAGAACGAAAGUCAGAGGUUCGAAGGCGAUCAGAUACCGCCCUAGUUCUGACCGUAAACGAUGCCAACUAGCGAUCCGCCGGCGGAUUUAUUCGCCCUGGUGGGGAGCUUCCCGGAAACGAAAGUCUUCCGGUUCCGGGGGAAGUAUGGUUGCAAAGCUGAAACUUAAAGGAAUUGACGGAAGGGCACCACCAGGAGUGGAGCCUGCGGCUUAAUUUGACUCAACACGGGGAAACUCACCCGGCCCGGACACCGUAAGGAUUGACAGAUUGAUAGCUUUUUCAUGAUUCGGUGGAUGGUGGUGCAUGGCCGUUCUUAGUUCGUGGAGCGAUUUGUCUGGUUUAUUCCGAUAACGAGCGAGACUCUAGCCUACUAAAUAGUUGGCUCAUUGCUUCUGUGGGCACAACUUCUUAGAGGGAUUUUCGGUGUUCAGCCGCACGAAAUUGAGCAAUAACAGGUCUGUGAUGCCCUUAGAUGUCCGGGGCUGCACGCGCGCUACACUGGCAAAAUCAGCGUGCUUGUCCUUCCCCGAAAGGGGUUGGUAAACCGGUGAAAAUUUGCCGUGAUUGGGAUCGGACAUUGCAAUUAUUGUCCGUGAACGAGGAAUUCCUUGUAGGGGCGAGUCAUCAACUCGCUCUGAAUACGUCCCUGCCCUUUGUACACACCGCCCGUCGCUGCCCGGGACUGAGCCAUUUCGAGAAAUUCGGGGACGGUUAGUGUUCCGGCUUCGGUCGGUAUGCAGACUGGAACCGAUUUAAUCGCAGUGGCUUGAACCGGGCAAAAGUCGUAACAAGGUAGCUGUAGGUGAACCUGCUGCUG
RNAcentral lists this ribosomal RNA (1384 nucleotides) under Heterodera glycines (soybean cyst nematode). RNAcentral's name for it is "SSU rRNA". It matches the Rfam family "Eukaryotic small subunit ribosomal RNA", at positions 409 to 1823 of the family's 1831-position model. RNAcentral also lists the same sequence under 1 other name. Lineage: Eukaryota; Metazoa; Nematoda; Chromadorea; Rhabditida; Heteroderidae. The record is from RNAcentral.